This 848-nucleotide ribosomal RNA is filed under the name bacterium MD24. RNAcentral's name for it is "bacterial SSU rRNA". It matches the Rfam family "Bacterial small subunit ribosomal RNA", at positions 55 to 918 of the family's 1533-position model. The record is from RNAcentral.
AUCGAUGUCAGAACGAUGAACCUCCUUCGGGAGGGGAUUAGUGGCGAACGGGUGAGUAACACGUGGGCAAUCUGCCCUGCACUCUGGGACAAGCCCUGGAAACGGGGUCUAAUACCGGAUACUGACCCGCUUGGGCAUCCAAGCGGUUCGAAAGCUCCGGCGGUGCAGGAUGAGCCCGCGGCCUAUCAGCUUGUUGGUGAGGUAAUGGCUCACCAAGGCGACGACGGGUAGCCGGCCUGAGAGGGCGACCGGCCACACUGGGACUGAGACACGGCCCAGACUCCUACGGGAGGCAGCAGUGGGGAAUAUUGCACAAUGGGCGAAAGCCUGAUGCAGCGACGCCGCGUGAGGGAUGACGGCCUUCGGGUUGUAAACCUCUUUCAGCAGGGAAGAAGCGAAAGUGACGGUACCUGCAGAAGAAGCGCCGGCUAACUACGUGCCAGCAGCCGCGGUAAUACGUAGGGCGCGAGCGUUGUCCGGAAUUAUUGGGCGUAAAGAGCUCGUAGGCGGCUUGUCACGUCGGUUGUGAAAGCCCGGGGCUUAACCCCGGGUCUGCAGUCGAUACGGGCAGGCUAGAGUUCGGUAGGGGAGAUCGGAAUUCCUGGUGUAGCGGUGAAAUGCGCAGAUAUCAGGAGGAACACCGGUGGCGAAGGCGGAUCUCUGGGCCGAUACUGACGCUGAGGAGCGAAAGCGUGGGAGAGCGAACAGGAUUAGAUACCCUGAUAGUCCACGCCGUUAGACGGUGGGCACUAGGUGUGGCGACAUUCCACGUCGUCCGUGCCGAGCUAACGCAUUAAGUGCCCGGCUGGGGAGUACGGCCGCAGGCUUAAACUCAAGAUUUUAAGGGA